RNAcentral lists this ribosomal RNA (253 nucleotides) under uncultured bacterium. Its description in RNAcentral is "partial 16S ribosomal RNA". It matches the Rfam family "Bacterial small subunit ribosomal RNA", at positions 524 to 776 of the family's 1533-position model. The record is from RNAcentral.
GACGGAGGGGGCUAGCGUUGUUCGGAAUUACUGGGCGUAAAGAGCGCGUAGGCGGAUUAGUAAGUUGGAAGUGAAAGCCCAAGGCUUAACCUUGGAACUGCUUUCAAAACUGCUAGUCUUGAGUGAAGUAGGGGGUGAUGGAAUUCCUAGUGUAGAGGUGAAAUUCUUAGAUAUUAGGAGGAACACCGAUGGCGAAGGCAGUCACCUGGGCUUCAACUGACGCUGAGGCGCGAAAGCGUGGGGAGCAAACAGG